Molecule: long non-coding RNA, 24935 nt
Filed under: Homo sapiens (human)
Lineage: Eukaryota; Metazoa; Chordata; Mammalia; Primates; Hominidae
Description: non-protein coding lnc-TFAP4-3:6
Source: RNAcentral
AGACUGGGCGCCGACAGCAUCCUCCGGGGGUAGGCGCCCACAGUCAUUCUUUCCAUCGCUGCGGACACGGGAGUCAGAAGUGAAACAGUCCUGUCCUCGUGGGGCUUACGUUCCAGGCGCAAGAGCCACAGGUAGUCGAAUUGGGAAACCGCCUCGGAUGUCACAUAAGCGCCCAGGGAGGACAGGGCAGGACAGGGCCUCCCUGGGGAGGUGACUUGAGUCAAGACUCAAAAGAGGGAAGCGAGGGAACAAGCCAUGCGAGGAACUAACGAAGGAACAUUCCAGAAAGAUUUCACAUCCCAAGCCUAAGGUCCAGGGGCAGCAGGCAUUGAGGCGGAUGUGGCUGGAGUGGAGAGAAAGAGGAAUUAAAAGGAUGGAGUAAUGACAAUAAUGGCUCACAUUUUUUAGCAAGAGGUGGGUUCACUACCUAUCUGUCGUUAUCUGGGGGGAAAUUAGGCUCUGGGAGGUCAAAUAACUUGCCCAAGGUCACACAGCUUGUAAGUGGCCAGACCAGCAUUGGAACCCAAGGGGACGGAUGUCUGAAACACACCCAGGAGUCCCAAGGUGGGAUGACCUUGACCAAGACAGGCCCUUUACCCCUUGCCUCAGUUUCAUCCCAAAGAGCUGCCCAAACACAGCUUAAAAUCAGGGCACAGAGCAAGGGUGUAGCUGAGUGUGCGUAACAUCUGUUCUCCUGGGAGAUGCUUUUGUUGUCUGGGAAGCACUUGUCACCUCUCCAGGCUCUGGAGCAGGUACAAGUGGCUUCGGGGAGAAAGGGUGGGAGCCGGGAAGAGGCUGCUUCUGGUGGCAGGAGGAGAGAGGGAGUGGGUGAGGGGCCCCGGGCUGGCUGAGUGCUCUGGAGCAUGACAAAGGCAGUGUCAGCCAGGCAGCUGUGUCCGCCACUAGCAACCGCGCAGGCAGCAUCCCCCGCCAUCCCUCUGAGCCUGGAGAGAUUGAAACACACACAGUCAGCGUGCCUGCUGCCCAGGUGAGGUGCAGAAGGCCUGGGGGUUGCCAGUCUGGGCUCUGCCGCGAGAAAGUGGCUUUUCUGCAGCCGGAAGCGGGGAGGAAGUGUUUUCACCCUUCUACAAAGCUCUGUCUCUGCCUCUGGAUCCACGGUGCUGCAGGCCUGAGGGCUCUCAUGGGUACGGGCCUGGUGAGUAAUCUAGAAUUUGCCCCUUCCCCAGCCUGGUGCAGCCUCUAGUCUCGGCCUUCACGCUCUGCUGUAAAAUGAGGCUGGGUCAGGAGUGGGACCCAUCCUCCGUGUUUGAGGAGCUGGGCUAUUACAUGAGCCCCUACCUGAGGUCGCCAGCGAGUCAGAGGUCCUGGUGGGACCAGACCAAAAUGGAACCUACUAUCGGGCCCAUUUUGAGAGGGAGACAGAGAGAAGUUAAAAGUACAUGCACACACAGCUCUAAAGUAGCAGAGAUGGCAUUCAAGUCCAAAGCCUUUGACUCCAGGACGGGCACAGUGGCUCACACUUGUAAUUUCAGCACUUUGGGAGGCCGAGGUGGGAGGAUCUCCUAAGCCCAGGAGUUCAAGACCAGCAUGGGCAACAUGGUAAGACCCUAUCUCUAUUAGCGGGGCGUGAUGGCACAUGGCUGUAGUCCCAGCUACUCUGGAGGCUGAAGCAAGAGAAUCGCUUGAACUUGGAAGGCAGAUGUUGCAGUGAGCUGACAGAGCAAGAUUCCAUCUCAAAACGAACAAUCAAACACUAGUCUUGCCCGGCGAGGUGGCUCAGGCCUGUAAUGACCAGCCUGGCCAACAUGGUGAAACCCCUUCUCUACUAAAAAUACAAAAAUUUGCUGGGCAUGAUGGCAGGCGCCUGUAAUUCCAGCUACUUGGGAGGCUGAGGCAGGAGAAUCCCUUGAACCUGGUAGGUAGAAGUUGCAGUGAGCCGAGACCGUGCUAUUGCACUCCAGCCUGGGCAACAAGAGUGAAACUCCGUCCCCAAAAAGAAAAAAACACUAGCCUCAAGCCACAGCCAUGUCUCCAACCUUCCCGGCCAGGUUUCUCAAAAGAGGGGGCUACCUGAGGUCACCCACUCCUGCCGAACUCCAGGUGGGCUUCCUCAUCCCUUGCUCUAUCCUAAACUGUUCCUUAAGUGACAGUUCACACCCUGACGUCUUCCAAGCUGAGACCCCACCAGCAGCUAGCUUUUCCUUUGUGGUUCCACCCACCUCCUAAAUCCCUUUAGCAGCCGGGUGCGGUGGCUCGCGCCUGUAAUCCCAGCACUUUGGGAGGCCGAGGCGGGUGGAUCACGAGGUCAGGAGAUCGAGACCACGGUGAAACCCUGUCUCUACUAAAAAUACAAAAAAAUUAGCUGAACGUGGUGGCGGGCGCCUGUAGCCCCAGCUACUCGGGAGGCUGAGGCAGGAGAAUGGCAUGAACCCGGGAGGCAGAACUUGCAGUGAGCUGAGAUCGCACCACUGCACUCCAGCCUUGGCGACAGAGUGAGACUCCAGCUAAAAAAAAAAUCCCUCUAGGGUCCUGCGCCUCUGCCUGUAGCCCCUAAAACCGAAUACUCCUGAAAGUUUUAUCCUGGGAACCCCUUUCCUUGACACUUUAACUCCGUGGAAGAGGCAAAAGUGAGGGGAACCCCCAUCUCUACUUAAGAGUUCCCCACAUAUUUUUUAUUAUUAUUUUUUUCGUGACGGAAUUUCACUCUUUGUUUGCCCAGUCUGGAAUGCAAUGGCACAAUCUCAGCUCACUGCAACCUCUGCCUCCCGGGUUCAAGUGAUUCUUCCACCCUAGCCUCCCGAGAAGCUGGGAUCACAAGCGCCCACCACCACACCAAACUAAUUUUGUAUUUUUAGUUGAGACGAUUUCACCACGUUGCCCAGGCUGGUCUCGAACUCCUCAGAUGAUCGGCCCUCUGCCUCCCAAAGUGCUGGGAUUACAGGUGUGAGCUCCUGCGCCCGGCUCAGAGUUCCCCAUAUUUAUACUUGCCCUCCAGGGCACACUGGCCUCCAUUUUUAGGGACUUGCUUGGUAUCUGCCCUUGGGUAACCCACUGGAGCUUUCCAGUUGGACUCCUUGAUUGGAGGGGAAUCUGGCUACACCUGUCGCCCCAGGAUGGACCAGCAGGGCCCGUCUUGAGGCUGCACUCGAGGAUAGAGGAAAAAGUGUCAUCUUUAAGAGUCCCACCGAGUAGCCAGGUUUCCCUGCCGGAAAUUCCUGCCUUGUUUUCCUUUCCCUGGUAAAACUAGGAGAGCCACCUCAUUUUCCUGAGCCCUGAGCCCUGAGCGCCCGCCCCCACCCCCGUUGGUUCUAGCUACACAGGCUUUCGGCCUCAGGGUUGCUUUGCACCAUCCCCUUCCCCCGACCCAGGCAAGUUCGCUUCUGCUUCUCUCUUGCCCAGCCCUCAUUAGCAGGCUCUGACACUUCUCAGCCGCCUGUCCGCUUUGCAGAGAACUGACAUGUGAGCUGUGCCCAGGGACAUCUGCUGAAUGGGCGGGUCCCCUGCCGGACCAGUCCAUCUGUCCCUCACUCAGUGUUCCUUCUGAGCUGAAGCUGCCCAGCAUCCCCCAUCUGUGUGAGUAUUCACACAGCGCUGGCCAAAGCCCUGUCGGGAAUCACGUGAUUCAGAUCCUGGUUUUGCCCCUGUCAGCCUUAGGACAAGACAGAUUUCUUUUUCUUUGUUUCUCCUGAGAUAGGGUCUCACUCUGUCGCCCAGGCUGGAGUGCAGUGGUGUGAUCUCAGCUCAUUGCAGCCUCAGCCUUUGGGGUUAUAGCAAGCCUCCCACCUCAGCUUCCCAAGUAGCUAGGAUUAUAGGUGCACACCACCAUGCUCAGCUAUUUUUUUUUACAUUUAUAUUUAGUAAAGACAGGGUCUCACUGUGUUUCCCAGGCUGGUCUCAAACUCCUGGCCCCAAGUGAUCCUCCCGCCUUGGCCUCCCAAAGUGCUGGGAUUACAGGCAUGAGCCACCAUGCCCUGGCUACCCAACAGAUUUCUUUUCUUUUUUCCCCCCCAAGACGGAGUCUCACUCUGUCAUCCAGGCUGGAGUACAUUAGCGCAAUCUUGGGUCAUGGCAACCCCUGCCUCCUGGGUUAAAGCAGUUCUUCUGCCUCAACCUCCCGAGUAGGUGGGAUUACAGGCGCAUGCCACCACGCCCGGCUGGCUAAUUUUUUUGUAUUUUUAGUAGAGACGGGGGUUUCGCCAUGUUGGCCAGGCUGGUCUCAAACUCCUGACCUCGUGAUCCACCUGCCUCGGCCUCCCAAAGUGAUGGGAUUACAGGAAUAAGCCACCAUGCCCGUCCCACCCAACAGAUUUCUUGAGGUGAGUUUUGGUUUCCUGGCAUGGUAUUGGCUACAUGACCUCAUCUGUAAUGUCUUUGGCAAACAGAAUAACUUGUUUUGUAUUACUAUGUUUAAUCUUCAAAAUCACCCUAUUGAGUAGAUUGUCACAAUCAGGCCUGUUUUGUGGAUGAAGAGAGGGAGGCUUGGAGAAGCCGCGUGGUUCAUGCAAAAAUGCAAAGCUGCAAAGUAGUGGCGGUGGGGUUCAAGUCCUGACGCUUUCACCACUGAGCGCCUUGCCAUCCCCUGCUGCCAUCCUCUCUUGGUUCUGAUACUUCUUUUUUUUUUUUUUUUGAGAUGGAGUCUCACUCUGUCGCCCAGGCUGGAGUGCAAUGGUGUGAUCUCGGUUCACUGCAACCUCCACCUCCCACGUUCAAGCGAUUCUCCUGCCUCAGCCUCCGGAGUAGCUGGACUACAGGUGCCUGCCACCACGCCCGGCUAAUUUUUUUGUAUUUUUUUAGUAGAGACAGGGUUUCACCGUGUUAGCCAGGAUGGUCUCACUCUCCUGACCUCAUGAUCCACCUGCCUCGGCCUCCCAAACUGCUGGGAUUACAGGCAUGAGCCAUCACGCCUGGCCUUUAGGCCAGCUAAUUUUAAGGUGCUUCUCUGAGUAGUGUGAACUGGGGGUCAUGCGAAGGGGUCUCAGUGAAUCUGGGCAGAGUGUGGUGCUGCUGGGAGUCUGCAGCCCCUUUCAAACAGUCUGGUUCCUUGAAAGGUUAAACAUGGAGGCCGGGUACAGUGGCUCAGGCCUGUAAUCCCAGCACUUUAGGAAGCUGAGGCAGGCAGAUCACUUGAGGUCAGGAGUUGGAGACCAGCCUGGACAACAUGGCGAAACCCUGUCUUGAUGUAAAAAAAAAAAAAAAAAAAAUUAGCUGGGUGUGGUAGCAGGCACCUGUAGUCCCAGCUACUCAGGAGACUAAGGCAGGAGAAUCCUUUGAAUCUGGGAGGUGGAGGUUGCAGUGAGCUGAAAUCAGGCCACUGCACUCCAGCCAGGGUGACAGAGUGAGACUCCAUCUCAAAAAAAAAAAAAAAAUGUUAAACAUGGAGUGACCAUAUGACGCAGCAGUGCCCCUCCUAGGUAUAUAUCGUGUAUAUCUAAGAGGAAUGGGAACAUAUCUGCACAAAAAUUUGCAUGGGAAUGUUCAGAGCAGUGUUAUUCAUAAGAGCCAAAAAGUGAAAGCAACCAUGUGUCCCUCACCUGAUGAAUGGAUAAAUCAACUGUGGUCUCUCCAAACAGUGGAAUAUGAUUCAGCCAUAAAAAGGAACGAAGCAGCUGGGCGCAGUGGCUCACGCCUGUAGUCCCAGCACUUUGGGAGGCCGAGGCCAGUGGAUCACGAGGUCAGAAGAUCGAGACCAUCCUGGCUAACACGGUGAAACCCUGUCUCUAAAAAAAUUAGCCAGGCAUGUUGGCACAUGCCUGCAGACCCAGCUACUUGGGAGGCUAAGGCAGGAGAAUUGCUUGAACCUGGGAUGCGGAGGUUGCAAUGAGCCGAGAUCGUUCCACUGCACUCCAGCCUGGGAGAUAGAGUGAGACUCCGUCUCAAAACAAAACAAAACAAAACAAAAAAACGAAGCACCAAUACAUACUACAACAUGGAUGACCCUUGAAAGCAUUAUGCCCAGUGACAAGCCAGACACACAGGACGCAUGUUGUGUGUUUCUGUUCAUAUGAAAUUUCCAGAAUAGGCAAAUCCAUAGAGACUGGAAGUAGAUUAAGGGCCAGGGGCAGUGGCUUACGUCUACAGGCAUGAGCAGUUUGGAAAGCUGGGGCAGGAGGAUCACUUGAGACCAGGAGUUCAAGACCAGCAGUUCAAGACCAGCCUGGGCAACAGAGUGAGACCCCUAUCUCUAAAAAAAAAUAAAGUUAGCUGAGUGUGGUGGCGCCCACCUGUAGUCCCAGCUCCACGGGAGACUGAGAGGAGAGGACUGCUUGACCCUGAGAGGUAGAGGCUACAGUGAGCUAUGAUCAAACCACUGAACUCCAGCCUGGGCAACACAGUGAGACUCUGUCUCUAAAAAUAAAUAAAUAAAAAGAUAGGGUAGCUUAGGGGUUGCCUGGGGCCUGGGGUGGUGGUGAGCAUCGGGGAGUGACUGCUAAGUGGAGUUUCUUUUUGGGUUAAUGAAAAUAUUCCAAAAUUGGUCAGUUGCAGUGGCUCAUGCCUGUAAUCCAAGCACUUUUAGGAGGCCAAGGCACGUGGAUCACUUGAGGUUAGGGGUUCGAGACCAGCCUGGCCAACGUGAUGAAACUCCGUCUCUACUAAAAAUACAAAAAAAUCUAGCUGGGCCCGGUGGUGCUCACCUAUAGUCCCAGCUACUUGGGAGGCUGAGGCGGGAGAAUCGCUUGAACCCGGGAGACAGAGGUUGCAGUGAGCCGAGAUCAUGCCACUGCACUCCAGCCUGGGUGACAGAGUGAGACUCCGUCUUGAAAAAAAAAGAAAAAGAAAAUAUUCCAAAAUUGCAGUUAUAGAUGCACAGAUCUGUGGAUAUUUAAAAACAACUGAAUCAUCUACUGUGGUGUAAUUGUAAAGUGGUGAAUUAUAUGGAUUAUAUCUCAAUAAAGGUCUUUUUUUUUCUUUUUUUUUUUUUUUUUUUGAGACGGUAUCUUGCUCUGUCGCCCAGGCUGGAGUGCAGUGGCACAAUCUCGGCUCACUACAAGCUCCACCUCCCAGGUUGGUGGACAUUCUCCUGCCUCAGCCUCAGCCUCCCGAGUCGCUGGGACUACAGGUGCCUGCCACAAUGUCUGGCUAAUUUUUUGUAUUUUUAGUAGAGACGGGGUUUCACCGUGUUAGCCAGGAUGGUCUCGAUCUCCUGACCUCGUGAUGCGCCCACCUCGGCCUCCCAAAGUGCUGGGAUUACAGGUGUGAGCCACUGCACCCGGCCUCACCAAAGGUCUUAUUAAAAAAAUUAGCCAGAUUCCCUGCUUCAGUGAUAAAAAAAAAAAAAAAAAAGAGGGGCAGGAGAAGAGGACCCAAUAACUUCCUGAGUGACUGGGGAAAAUAUUUUUGGGUUAUAUUUCUGUAAUUCUCGUGAAGUGAUUACAGAAGUGACGGGAUAGAAGAGGUUUCUUUAAAAAAAAUUUUUUUUUUAAUUUAGUAGAGAUGGGAUCUUGCUAUAUUGCCCAGGCUGGUCUUGAACUCCUGGACUCAAGCAGUCCUCCUGCCUGGGCCUCCCGGAGCUCCCGGGUUACAGGUGUGCAAUCCCAUGACCAGCCGAUAGAGGACGUUUCUAUUCAUCCUUCAGACCUCAGCUUACAAGUUACCCCAAGAUAAGCCUCCCCCACCCCAUAACCCUCCCUCUGUCACUUUGUCACGUGUCUGAGCCCUUGUUUCUUCCUUUUUUUUUUUUGAAAUGAAGUCUUGUUCUGUCGCCAGGCUGGAGUGCAAUGGCGUGAUCUCGGCUCACUGCAAUCUCUGCCUCUUGGGUUCAAGCGAUUCUCCUGCCUCAGCCUCCCGAGUUGCUGGGAUUACAGGCACAUACCACCACACCCAGCUAAUUUUUGUAUUUUUAAUAGAGACGGGGUUUCACCAUGUUGGCCAGGGUGGUCUCCAUCUCCUGACCUCAUGAUCUGCCAGCCUUAGCCUCCCAAAGUGCUGGGAUUACAGGCGUGAGCCACCGCGCCAGGCCUGUUUCUUCCUUUUAUAGCUCUUCCCACACUUGGAAUUCUUUUCUGCCUCUGGACCUGAUUUUGUUGGGCUCUUGCCCAGCUGAGUUCCGUGAGGUUCGGGGCUUGUCUGUAUCUUGUCUGCCACAUCAUAGGUGCUCAGUGCACACCUGUUGAGUGGAUGCACCAUAGAUAUAUUGAUAACAGCUGUGAGCGGUUGGGAGCGAGUGAGCAGAGCAGGGCUGCUCAGGGUGUCUCCAGCCCUAGUGGCUUUCUCUCUGUUCCAGUUCCAGGAGAAAGUCUCUGGAAAGGAAGCCCGAAGUCGGGUCUGGCUGGGAAGAGGUGGGGGCUGGGGCGGGUGCCGGGUGCUGGGGCUGGGAGGAAGUCUGCAGCCAGGCUGCUGAGGGUGUGGCGUCUGUGUGUGCACCUUUGGAAUGUGGCUGAUUCACUCUGAGGGGAGCCAUAUGCUGCCGCCACCGCCUCGGAUCUGACAUCUGGAGGCUGAAUUCCAGGAGGAGAGAGACAGAUUCCUGCAAGCAGAUGCCAACUUUGAAGGUCAAAGGGAGCAAUGGAACUGCUUUGAGGGGGGUGGGAGGAUCACUUGAACCUAGAAGUUUGAGACCAGCCUGGGCAACAUAGUGAGACCCCAUCUCUACAAAAAAAUAGAAAAAUUAGCCAGGUGUGGUGGUGCGGGCCUGUAGUCCCAGCUACUCCUGAGGCAGGAUUGCUUGAGCCCAGGAGGUGGAGGCUAUAGUGAGCCAAGAUUGCACCACUGCACUCCAGCCUGGGUGACAGAGCAAGACCCCCCCAUCUCAAAAACAAAUUAAAAAAUAAAUAAAUAAGUAAAUAAAUGAAAUAAAGACCAGUUCCUUGACAGCUCGUGUAACUGCAGAGGCCGAGGGUCUAGCUGGGUCCAGUGCUCACAGGAACACUGGCUUGCAUCUCCCAGCCAGGUUUCCUCCGUUUUCGCUUUGCUCUUGGGCCAGCGCUUCCUGAGAGGAGGCCCUGAUGUCACAGACCUGUGAACCUCCAGCUUGUGUCUACCACGGGUUCCAGCAGAAUCCUAGGUUUGCCUCUCUUUGGCUGGAGCUGGGUCCCAACCCAGCCCUGUAGCGAUCACCGUACUCCUGAUGGGACAGGCCUGGGUCAGGAGCCUGCCCAGCACAGGGCAAUACCCCUGUAGCCCCAUGGAGCAAAUGGAAAUGAGGGGGGCUGUCCCUUAAAAGAACCACACCGGCCAGGCGUGGUGGCUCACGCCUGGAAUCCCAGCACUUUGGGAGGCUGAGGUGGAAGGAUCGAUUGAUCCUGGGAGUUGGAGACCAGCGUGGGCAACAUAGCAAGACCCUGUCUCUACAAAAAAAAAUUUUUUUUGAGAUGGGAGUCUUGCUGUGUCGCCCAGGCUGGAGCACAGUGGCGUGAUCUCGGCUCACUGCAAGCUCUGCCUCCCAGGUUCAUGCCAUUCUCCUGCCUCAGCCUCCCAAGUAGCUGGGACUACAGGUGCCUGCCACACGCCCGGCUAAUUUUUUUGUAUUUUCAAAAAUUUUUUUUUAAAUUAGAUGAGCAUAGUGGUGUGUACCUGUGGUCCCAGCUACUUGGGAAACUGAGACGGGAAGAUGGCUUGAGCCCAGGAGGUUAAGGCUGCGGUGAGCCUUGAUCGCACCACUGCAUUCCAGCCUGGUCAACAGAGCAAGGCCCUAUCUCAAAAACAAAACAAAAAAACAUAAAUACAAGAGCGACCCCCCAGCUCUGCUAAGCUGCCUCCACCAUGCUGGCUGCCAGGCCCUGUGCUCAGCUUCAUGGGCUUUAGCGUCCCCAGGUGUCCCUUUGGUUGAGUCUCUCCCUUAAGCUCUCAGAUGCUCAUUUUCUUCAUCUCUGAAAUCUCCAAGCUUCUUUUCAGGAUUGGAUGAGACAAUCCUGGCAAAUCCCUUGGCACAGGCCUUGCCCCAAGGAGGCAGAUGAUAGCUCACGUCUAGUUCCUUUCUCAUCCUGACAUCUAGGUUCUCUGUGAUCUGCCUGUGGGCUCGAAGGAUGGUGUGCAUGUGUGUGUUUGCAUGUGUGUGCGUGGGUGUGCAUGAGUGUGUCUGCACGCAGCAGCAGCAGCCCCCUUUCUGUUCUCCUAGGAGUUUUGUAUUUGAUUUCUCCUCCAGAGUCUUGGGGGCUCCACAGGAGAGAUGGUGGAGGCGGGAGGAGCAAGAAAGGGGUGAGGUUAGAAGCCUGGUCCCAGCUGGGGCUGCAGCUGGGGGCCUGCAGGCUCUGGCCUGCCCUGGGAGGCCCUCCCUGUACCUGCAGCUGCAUCUGGGGCCGGAGGAGGGGCCAGGCGUCCUUCCGCUCCAGGAGCUGCUGCCUGUCCCCCUCCCAUGACACAUGAGGACUGUGUCUGGUCGAUUCACAUUGGAGGGUCCCUGAAUGAGCUUUGUCCAUUAGAGGACCUGUAUUCUUGUUCCUGGAACCUGGGAGUGGGUCAGAAGGGUGACUCACACCUGUAAUCCCAGCACUUUGGGAGGCCAAGGUGGGUGGAUUACCUGAGGUCAGGAGUUUGAGACCAGCCUGGCCAACAUGACGAAACCCCAUCUCUACUAAAAAUAUAAAAAUUAGCUUGGCAUGGUGGUGCGUGCCUGUAAUCCCAACCACUCGGGAGGCUGAGACAGGAGAACUGCUUAAACCUGGGAGGCAGAGGUUGCAGUGAGCCGAAAUUGCGCCAUUGCACUCCAGCCUGGGUGACAAGAGUGAGACUCUGUCUCAAAAAAUAAAAAUAGGCCGGGCGCAGUCGCUCACGCCUGUAAUCCCAGCACUUUGGGAGGCCGAGGCAGGCAAAUCACAAGGUUAGGAGAUCGAGAGCAUCCUGGCUAACACAGUGAAACCCCAUCUCUACUAAAAAUACAAAAAAUUAGCCAGGUGUGGUGGCGGGCGCCUGUAGUCCCAGCUACUCCAGAGGCUGAGGCAGGAGAAUGGCGUGAACCCAGGAGGCAGAGCUUGCAGUGAGCCAAGUUCGCGCCACUGCACUCCAGCCUGGGUGACAGAGAGAGACUCUGUCUAAAAUAAAUAAAUUAGUUAAUAAUAAUAAAAAUAAAAAAUAAAAUCAAGCUGGGAGCAGUGGCUCAUGCUUGUAAUCCCGGCACUUUGGGAGGCUGAGACCGGCAGAUCACCUGAGGUCAGGAGUUCGAGACCAACCUGGCCAACAUGGUGAACCCCGUCUCUACUAAAAAUACAAAAAUUUGGCCGGGCACAGUGGCUCACGCCUGUAAUCCUAGCACUUUGGGAGGCCAAGGCGGGCGGAUCAUGAGUUGAGGAGAUCGAGACCAUCCUGGCUAACACGGUGAAACCCCAGACCCCAUCUCUACUAAAAAAAUUAGCCGGGUGUGGUGGUGGGUGCCUGUAGUUUCAGCUACUCGGGAGGCUGAGCCAGGAGAAUCGCUUGAACCAGGGAGGUGGAGGUUGCAGUGAGCUGAGAUCGCACCACUGUACUCCAGCCUGGGUGACAGAGUGAGACUCCAUCUCAAAAAAAGAUUAAAAAAUAAAAAUAAGAUAUAAUUCACAUACCGUAAAAUUCACCUCUUUGAAGUGUACAAUCAGUGGUUUUUAGUGUAUUCAGAGUCGUGCAACCAUCAUCAACAUCUAAUUUCAGAACAUUUUCACCAUCCCAAAAAGAAACCCUAUACUCAAGAAGCAGCCACUCCCCAUUCCUCUUUCCUCCCAGGCCCUGGCAACGCACCAGCCUGUUUUCUGCCUCUAUGGAUUUCCCUAUUCUGGGCAUUUCAAAUAAAGUGGUGGUCUCUUGUGAUUGGCUUUUCACUUAAUGUUUCAAGGUUCGUCUAUAUUGUAGCAUAGAUCAGCACCUUGUUCCUUUUUAUUUUUGAGACACAGUCUCGCUCUGUCGCUCAGGCUGGAGUGCAAUGGUGAAAUCUCUGCUCAUUGCAAGCUCUGCCUCCCAAGUUCAAGCAAUUCUCCUGCCUCAGCCUCUCGAGUAGCUGAGAUUACAGGCGCGCGCCACCGUGCCUGGUAAAUUUUUUGUAGUAGAAACGGGAUUUUACCAUGUUUGCCAGGCUGGUCUCGAACUCCUGACCUCAGGUGAUCCACCUGCCUUGCCCUCCCAAAAUGUUAGGAUUAGAGGCGUGAGCCACCAUGCUGGCCCUUUUUUUUUUUUUUUUUUUUUUUUUUAAGAUGGAGUUUCUCUCUGUCCCCCAUGCUGGAGUGCAGUGGCAUGAUCUCAGCUCACUGCAGGCUCUGUCUCCCGGGCGCAAGCAAUUCUCAUGCCUCAGCCUCCUGAGGAGCUGGAAAUACAGGUGCCCACCACCAUGCCCAACUAAUUUUUGUAUUUUUAGUAAAGAUGGGGUUUCGCCAUGUUGGCCAGGCUGGUCUCAAACUCCUGACCUCAGGUGAUCCGCCUACCUCGGCCUCCCAAAGUGCUGGGAUUGCAGGAGUGAGCCACUGUGCCCAGCCAAUUAAAAAAAAAAAAUUUUUUUUGAGACGAAAUUUCGCUCUUGUUGCCCAGGCUGGAGUGCAAUGGCAUGAUCUGGACUCACCGCAACCUCCGCCUCGUGGGUUCAAGUCAUUCUUCUGCCUCAGUCUCCCAAAUAGCUGGGAUUACAGGCAUGCGCCACCAUGCCUGGCUAAUUUUGUGUUUUUAGUAGAGAUGGGGUUUCACCAUGUUGGUCAGGCUGGUGUCAAACUCCCGACCUCAGGUGAUCCGCCCACCUUGGCCUCCCAAAGUGCUGCGAUUACAGGCAUGAGCCACCACACCUGGCCUUAAAACAUUUUUUGUAGAGAUGGGGGCUUGCUAUGUUGCCCAGGCUGGUCUUGAACUCGUAGGCUCAAGUGAUCCUCCUGCCUCAGCCUCAUGAGUAGCUGGGACUACAAGUGCACACCAUCACGCCUAGCUAAUUUUUUUUUUUUUUUUUUUUUUUUUUUUUUUUUUUUUGUUUUGAGACUGAGUCUCAUUCUGUUGCCCAGGCUGGAGUACAGUGGCACGAUCUCGGCUCACUGCAACCUCCACCUCCCGGGUUCAAGUGAUUCUCCUGCCUCAGCCUCCUGAGUAGCUGGGAUUACAGCUGCCCACCACCACGCCCGGCAAAUUUUUGUAUUUUUAGUAGAAGUGGGGUUUCACCAUGUUGUCCCGGCUGGCCUCGAAUUUCUGACCUCAAAUGAUCCUUCUGCCUCGGCGUCCCAAAGUGCUGGGAUUACAGGCAUGAGCCACCGCGCACUGCUAAUUUUUUUUAAAGAUGAAAUCUUGCUAUGUUGCCCAGGCUGGUUUGGAACUCCUGAGCUCAAAUGAUCCUCUCAUCUGGCCUCCCAGAGGGCUGGGAUCCCAGGUGUGAGCCAUCGGGAACCAGCUGCAUUUUCAGUGCUUACUCAUGGCCAAAGUGAAUCAGAUCCAACUGAGGAGGAGGAGGCGCGCAUCACAGGUCUCCCUAGACAAGCCAGGCACUGUAGGGAUCUGCAGGGCCUCGGGAUUGUGGGGGGCUGCGGUCAGCCCCUUCACCCCAACACCUACCUGCCUGGGGCUCCCCCACCGUGUUCCUGCUCGGCAUCCACAAAGCAGCGCGUGUGCCGGACGCCCCCUACUGGUCGGGGGAGCCCCAGCCCUGUGAGCCCAGAGAUGUCCCCCUGACUUGGGGAGAGGAGGGCCAGAGGACCGGAAGUGGCUUUGCUCCGAACCCCAGUAGGAGCAUCUGACCCCCGUUCCGCCUUCCUGGGAGCAUCCAGGAUCCUUUCCCAGGCAGGGACUUUUUGCUUCUCAACCUGGCUCCAACGACUGGUGUCCCUGCCCCCGCCACCACCCCAAAGAGGCUAUGGUUCCCCAUAUGCACGGGAGUAUAGCAGGGCCGGAAAGGUCAGGUGCUGCAUCCCCCUGCUCCCAGCAAAUUUCUAUAGCGGAACAAGCCUCGUUAAGACUGAGGACAUAGAUUCCUGCCUGGGUUCCAUCUCCAAUUCUCUGUAUGUUCUCAGGAAAUUCUCCUCCCUUACUCUAUCCUACCUUCAAACCCCCCAUCUGGGGCAGGAGAAUUUUCCUGUGACCCCCAAUGCCCUUUACCCUGGUGUAACCCCCUUUUGAUGAGUGUGGGCAAAACCUACAAAUAUAUCACUUCUGUGGUUAGGAUGCAUGACAUGCUAUGGUUGACCUUGAGGCAGAGAGAUUAUCAAUGAUUCUGACCUAAUCACAUGCACUCUUAAAAAGCAGAGUUGGCCAGGCGCAGUGGCUCACACCUGUAAUCCCAGCACCUUGGGAAGCUGAGGCUGGAAGAUCGCUUGAGUCCAUGAGUUUGAGACAAGCCUGGGCAACAUAGGAAGACCCUAUCUCUACAAAAAAAUUAAGAAAAUUAACACAUAUAGGCCGGGUGCGGUGGCUCACGCCUGUAAUCCUAGCACUUUGGGAGGCCGAGGCAGGUGGAUCACCUGAGGUUGGGAGUUCAAGACCAGCCUGACUAAUAUGGAGAAACCCUGUCUCUACUAAAAAUACAAAAUUAGCCGGGUGUAGGCUGGGCUCUGUGGCUCAUGCCUGUCAUCUCAGCACUUUGGGAGGCUGAGGUGCGCGGAUCACCUGAGGUCAGGAGUUCAAGACCAGCCUGGCCAACAUGGUGAAACCCGUGUCUACUAAAAUGUACAAAAAACUAGCCGGCCGUGGUGGUGCAUGCGUGUAAUCCCAGCUUUUCAGGAGGCUGAGGCAGGAGAAUCACUUGAACCAGGGAGGUGGAGAUUGCAGUGAGCCGAGAUUGCACCAUUGCAUUCCAGACUGGGCGACAAGAGCAAAGUUCUGUCUCAAAAAAAAAAAAAAAUGCUGAAUAAUAUUAGGCCGGGCGCAGUAGCUCACGACUGUAAUCCCAUCACUUUGGGAGGCUGAGGCAGGUGGAUCACGAGGUCAGGAGAUUGAGACCAUUCCUGGCUAACACAGUGAAACGCUGUCUCUAGCCAGGCGCGGUGGCUCACACCUGUAAUCCCAGCACUUUGGGAGGCCGAGGCGGGGAGAUCAAGAGGUCAGGAGAUUGAGACCAUUCUGGCUAACAUGGUGAAACCCCAUCUCUACUAAAAAAUACAAAAAAUUAGUCGGGCAUGGGGGCAGGCGCCUGUAGUCCCAGAUACUCGCGAGGCUGAGGCAGGAGAAUGGCGUGAGCCCGGGAGGCAGAGCUUGCAGUGAGCUGAGAUCACACCACUGCACUCCAGCCUGGGCGACAGAGCGAGACUCUGUCUCAAAAAAAAAAAAGAAAAGAAAAUUCUAGAAACACCGUGUCUACUAAAAAUACAAAAAAGCCAGGUGUGGUGGCAGAGGCUGAGGCGGGAGGAUCGCUUGAGCCCAGGAAGUUUUGUUUGUUUUGUUUUGUUUUUAGAAGGAGUCUCGUUCUGGAAUGUAGUGGCAGGAUCUCGGCUCACUGCAACCUCCGCCUCCUGGAUUCAAGUGAUUCUUCUACCUCAGCCUCCUGAGUAGCUGAGACUACAGCCGUGUGCUACCUCCCCUGGCGAAUUUUUGUAAUUUUUUAGUAGAGAUGGGGUUUCAUCAUGUUGCCCAGGCUGAUCUCGAACUCUUGACCUCAAGUGAUCCGCCCGCCCCUACCUACCAAAGUGUUGAGAUUACAGGUGUGAACCACUGUGCCCGGCCUGAGCCCAGGAAGUUGACACUGCAGUGAGCCAUGAUUGCACCACUGCGAUCAAACCCCACCCCCCGAAAAAAAAGACCCAAAAACCUAAGUGUAAAAAUGAGAACAACCUAUCCUCACCUCUGCAGCAGCCACCUUUGCCGACAGCUCUUCCUCCUGGCUGCAGUUCUUAUGAUUUCCCAUCUCCAACCAGCAGCUCCCAACCAGCCUGGGAAGGGGUUGGGGGUAGCCUUUGUCCUGAAAACUGCUGUGCUGAUGGCAUGGUCAGAGCAGCUGACACCUCCGAGCCAGUGAGGAAAGAGCCAAGGGAAGGAGUCCUGAAUCCUCUGCUCUAAGGAAUCCCCCAUGCUUGCUUUCUGGGGCUUCCUGGACUUGUGGCCAUCUUUAGGGUCAGUCAAUAAAGUUGCUUUUUUUUUUUUUUGAGAUGGAGUCUCGCUUUGUCACUCAGGCUGGAAUGCAGUGGCACAAUCUCGGCUCACUGCAACCUCCACCUCCCGGGUUCAAACGAUUCUCCUGCCUCAGCCUCCCAAGUAGCUGGGACUACAGGCGUGCGCCACCAUGCCCGACUAAUUUUUGUAUUUUUAGUAAAGAUGAAGUUUCACCAGUUGGCCAGGCCGGUCUCGAACUCCUGACCUCAGGUGAUCCACCUGCCUCAGCCUCCCACAGUGCUGGGAUUACAAGCGUGAGCCAGACUCACUGCAGCCUUAACUCCUAGGCUCAAGCAAUCCUCCCGCCUCAGCCUCCUGAGUAGCCAGGACUUCAGACAUAAGCCACUGUGACCGGCCAAGAGACCCACCUUUUACAGGGCAAGUGGUUUGUUUGCCAAUUUUCACUGCCCCACCACAUGAGGGUGUUUCGAGUGGGAAGCAGGUGCACCCUGUGUGAACAGCAAAGCCCAGCGCAUGCCUGCUGCCUCCCACCUGCUGCCACGUAGAGCUGGGAAGGGGAAAGGCUGAGCCCCACCUCCGACCUUCCCUACAUAUCAGGAAAUCUUGUCGUUCUCCAAGGUCAGCUCAGACGCCUCUGGCCACUGCCGCCCAUGGCAACUUGGUGCCAGGGAUGACAGCAACCAACACUCAUUGAUGCCGUGACAUGCCAGGCUGUCACCAGCUUUUCACAACAGCCCUGCCAGGGAGAUGCUGUGUGGCUUUCAUUUUGCAGAUGAGAGAGCAGAGUCAGGUUAGUAGGGUUGGGGUUCAGGCAGGACCUGGAUUCUGUACCACACUUCGUGGCUGCUAGUGGUUUCUGGAAGUCUGUUGUCUGAAGAGCAGGGAGUGUGUGUAGACAGAGACAGGUCUGAGGGCUGUGCCGUGGGCAUGUCCUAGACGCAAAGCAAAAAAAGAAUUUCAAGAAGGUCAGAUGCAGUGAAGGCAGAAAACAGAGACCCAGAUGUAGCAUCCUGGAGGUCCUCGUGACUUUGAAAAGAGAAGGGUUUGUGUGUGUGUGUGUGUGUGUGUGUGUGUGUGUGUGUGUGUGUGUUUUAUUAUUUAUUUAUUUAUUUUUGAGACAGUCUCACAGUUGCCCAGGCUGGAGUGCAGUGGUGCGAUCUCGGCUCAGGUGCGAUCUGUUGCCCAGGUUCAAGCGAUUCUCCUGCCUCAGCCUCCUGAGUAGCUGGGAUUACAGGUGCCUGCCCUUGCGCCUGGCUAAUUUUUGUAGUUUUAGCAGAGAUGGGGGUUUCACCAUCUUGGCCAGGCUGGUUUUGAACUCCUGACCUCGUGAUCCACCUGCCUUGGCCUCCCAAAGUGCUGGGACUACAGGCAUGAGCCACCGCGCCCAGCCAUAUGUGUUUUAUUUUGGAGACAGGGUCUCACUCUGCGGUCUAGGCUGGAGUGCAGUGGUGCACUCUUGGCUCAAAGCAGCCUCAACCUCUUAGAAUCAAGUGAUCCUCCCUCCUCAGCCUCCAGAGUAGUAGCUGGGACCAAAGAUGUGCAUCACCACACCUGGCUAAUAUUUUAAUUAUUUAUAAAGAUGAAGUCUUGCUAUGUUGCCCGGCUGGUCUGGAACUCCUGGGCUCAAGCCAUCCUCCUGCCUCCUGCUUUGACCUCCCAAAGUGCUAGGAUUACAGAAGUGAGUCACUGCCCCCAUGCAGUCAUGGGGGUGUGAUGGAGUGAGCAGGAGGGAAGGGGAGAGAGUGAGUGUGAACAUCCAUUUCAAGGAGUUUUGCUGUUAGAUUCCAGAGCUGGGCUGGGCGUGGUGGCACAUACCUGUAGUCCCAGCUACAAAGGAGGCUGAGGCAAGAGAAUGGCUUGAACCUGGGAGGUGGAGGUUGAAGUGAGUGGAGAUCAUGCCACUGCACUCCAGCUUGGGUGACAGAGUGAGACUGUCUCAAAACCAAGAAAAGAGAGCAGAGCUAAGGGGAUCUAGGGUCAGUCCGUUGGUUUGAAAGGAGAAUAGUAACAGCUUGUUAGUAAUGGGUAUGAUCCAAAAGACGGUGUGCACUGAAGACAAAGGAGAGAGGACAGUUUCUGGAGUGACGGCUCUGAGUUGUGCAAGUAGAAGGGUCUUCUGUGCAUGAACAGCAUGGAUGCUCAUCCAGAGACACUGGCCGAUGGCAGUUCCCAGGCACAGAGAGGGAGGCAGUGGCGGGCAUGGCAGCCUGUGGAAGGUCUCUUCUAAUUGCUUCCAUUUCCCUCAGAGGAACGGGAAGUGAGCUACAAGCAAGGAGGAGGUGCUAGAGGGCUUGAGGGGAGAGGAGAAGGAAGGGUAGGAAGAAGGGGCCAGGGCAACAGGAUGCAGUCACAGCAACCCCCAGACCCACUUGAGGGUAUGGAUCAGGCACUUAAAAAUAAGAGCAGUGGCAGGCUGGGCGCGAUGGCUCAUGCGUGUAAUCCCAGCACUUUGGGAGGCCAAGGCGGGCGGAUCACCUGAGGUCUGGAGUUCGAGGCCAGGCUGACCAACAUGAAGAUACCCCAUCUCUACUAAAAAUACAAAAUUAGCUGGGCAUGGUGGUGGGCACCUGUAAUCCCAGCUACUUGGGAGGCUGAGGUAGGAGAAUCACUUGAACCCAGGAGGCAGAGGUUGCGGUGAGCUGAGAUUGUGCCGUUGCACUCCAGCCUGGGCAAUAAGAGCAGAGCUCUGUCUCAAAAAAAGGACCUGGUGGAGGCCGGGCACGGUGGCUCAUGCCUGUAAUCCCAGCACUUUGGGAGGCUGAGAUGGGUGGAUCACAAGGUCAGGAGAUUGAGACCAUCCUGGCUAACAUGGUGAAACCCUGUCUAUACUAAAAAUACAAAAAAUUAGCCGGGCACGGUGGCUGGCACCUGUAGUCCCCAGCUACUCUGGAGGCUGAGGCAGGAGAAUGGCGUGAACCCGGGAGGCGGAGCUUGCAGUGAGCAGAGAGAGCGCCACUGCCGUCUGGCCUGGGCGAAAGAGAGAGACUCCGUCUCAAAAAAAAAAAAAAAAAAAAAAAAGAGGGUCUGGUGCAGUGGCUCACGCCUGUAAUCCCAGUGCUUUGGGAGGCUGAGGCGUGAGGAUUGCUUGAGCCCAGGAGGCUACAAUAAGCCGUGCACCACUGCAUUCCAGCCUGAGUGAGAGUGAGACCCUGUCUCAAAAAAAAAAAAAACAAAAAUCCAAAAACCCGUCACCUAGCGGGUGACUUUGACUUUGACAACAUCCCUAAUACAACUGUUGCUGACUGGAGGGAAAAAAUAAAAACAAACCAAUCAGCAAGGUUGUGGGAUUUCCUCUUUCUAGCCAUAUUUGGCUGUUUCUUUCAGGUAGGGAGAGGGGAAGAGCAGGCAGUGUGAGAUGAACUGGGUCACAGCUGCAGGAGUUAGCAGGAUCAAUGGGGUCAGCCGACUAUGGCCCACUGCAUUUUUUGUUUGUUUGUUUUGAGAGGGAGUUUUGCUCUUGUCACCCAGGCUGGAGUGCAAUGGUGUGAUCUCAGCUCACCACAACUUCUGCCUCCCAGGUUGAAGCCAUUCUCCUGCCUCAGCCCCCUCAGUAGUUGGGAUUACAGGCGCCCACCACCACAACCAGCUAGUUUUUGUAUUUUGAAUACAGACAGGGUUUCACCAUUUGGCCAGGCUGGUCUCGAACUUCUGACCUCAGGUGAUCUGACCUCCUCAAGCCUCCCAAAGUGCUGGGAUUACAGGCAUGAGCCACUGAGCCUGGCCCAGCCCACUGCUUUUAUAACAAACCUUUUUCUAUUGUGGUAAAAUAUACAUAACAAAGACUUACUGUUUAACCAGUUAUUUAUUUGUUUGUUUAUUUGUUUUUGUAGAGACGGGGUCUCACCAUGUUGCCCGGGACAGUCUUGAACUCUUUUUUUUUUUUUUUUUAAGUAGUCUCGCUCUCUUGCCCAGGCUGGAGUGCAAUGGUGUGAUCUCUGCUCACUGCAACCUCUGCCUCCCAGGUUCAAAUGAUUCUCCCUCCUCAGCCUCCUGAAUAGCUGGGAUUACAGGCACAGGCCACCACACCUGGCUAAUUUUUGUAGUUUUGUAGAGAUAGGGUUUCACCAUAUUGGCCAGGCUGAUCUUGAACUCCUAACCUCAGGUGAUCUGCCUGCCUUGGCCUCCCAAAGUGCUGGGAUUACAGGCAUGAGCCACCUCUCCCAGCUGGUGUUGAACUCUUGGUGGGUGAACAAGUGAGCCAGCCAGCCAAGCUUCAUCUGUAUCUACAGCCACUCCACAUGGCUAGCGGUACUGCCUGAGUUCCGCCUCCUGCCAGAUCAGCGGUGGCAUUAGAUUCUCAUAGGAGUGCAACCUUAUUGUGAAUGAACUGUGGGUGUGCGGGAUCUAGAUUGAGUGCUUCUUAUGAGAAUCUAAUGCCUGAUGAUCUGUCACUAUCUCCCAUCACCCCCAGAUGGGACUGUCUAGUUGCAGGAAAACAAACUCAGGGCUCCCAUUGAGUCUACAUUAUGGUGAGUUGCAUAGUUAUUUUAUUAUAUAUUAUAGUGUAAUAAUAGAAAUAAGGUAUGCAAUAAAUGUAAUGCUGUAGUAGGUGUCAGUGCUUCAUUCUGUCUUAUGGCUGAAUAAUAUUCCACUGUAUGGACAGACCACAUUUAGUUUAUCCAUUCAUCAGUUGAUAGAUACUAGGUUGCUUCCAUGUUUUGGCUCGUAUGAAUAAUGCUGCUGUGGACAUGGGUGUACCAUGAUCUGUUUGAGUCCCUGUUUUCAUUCUCUUGGAUGUUUACCUAGGAGUGGAAUUGCUGGGGCCUAUGAUAACUACUGCCUGUUGCAUGGCUCACAAACCAAGAAUGGUGUGGUAGACAGAAUAAUGGCCCCCCCAAUGAAGAUCAUGCCCCAUCCCCAGAACCUAUCAAUAGUUACCUUAUGUGGCAAAAGGGACUCUGCAGUUGUGAUUACGUUAAGGAUUUUGAGAUGGGGAGAUUAUUCUGCAUUAUCUGGGUGGGCCCAAGGUCAUCAAGAGAGGGAGAUGAAAGGGUGAGAGAGAUGGGAUGGCAGAAGCAGAGACUGAGAAGUGCACUUUGAAGAUGGAGGAAGGGGCCACAAGCCAAGGAAUGUGAGUGGCAUCUACAAGUUGGAAAAGGGAAGGAAACGGAUUCUUCCCUAGAACUUUAGGAGAAAUACAACCCUGCUUACACCCUGAAUUUAGCCAAACAUAACCCAUCUGGACUUCUGACCUUCAGAGAAUAAAUUUGUGUUGUUUUUUAAAAUUAUACACACACACACACACACACACACACACACACACACACACACACAGACAUAUAUUUGUGGAGAUGGAAUUUCCCUAUGUUGUUGCCCAGGCUGGUCUCCAACUGCUGGCCUCAAGUGAUCCUCCUGCAUCAGCCUCCCAAAGUGCUGAGAUUACAGGCAUGAGCCAUGAUUCCUGGUCAAAUUUAUGUUGUUUUAUGCCACUAAGCUUGUAGUAACUUGUUACGGAGGCCAUAGAACUUUUACAUUUUCAAAUGGUUGGAAAGCGAUCAAAUGAUAUUUUGUGGCACAUGAAAUUAUACGACAUUCCAUUUGUGUCCAUAAGCAAAGUGUUAUUGGCACCCAGAGAUGCCCAUUCAUUCAUAUACCAUCUAGGACUGCUUUCCAGCCGGAGGGACAAUAGAGUGCUUGCAGGAGGCCGUGUGGUCUGCAAAGCCUAAAAUAUUUACUAUCUGGUACUUUAGGGAAAAAACCUUGCUGACUCCUAAUAUAUUUAUUCAUUUUGUUGUUGUUGUUUGUUUUUUGAGACGGAGUCUUGCUCUGUCGCUAGGCUGGAGUGCAGUGGCAUGAUCUCGGCUCACUGCAACCUCUGCUUCCCAGGUUCAAGCGAUUCUCCUGCCUCGGCUUCCUGGGUAGCUGGGACUACAGGCACACAGCACCAUGCCCAGCUAAUUUUUUGUAUUUUAGUAGAGAUGGGGUUUCACCAUGUUGGCCAGGAUGGUUUCAAUCUCCUGAACUCAUGAUCCACCUGCCUCAGCCUCCCAAAGUGCUGGGAUUACAGGCAUGAGCCACGGCACCCGGCCUGUUUGUUUGUUUUUGAGAUGCUUCGUCACCCAGGCUGGAGUGCAGUGGCGCAAUCUCGGCUCACAGCAGCCUCUGCCUCCCAGGUUCAAGGGAUUCUCAUACCUCACUCUCCCGAGUAGCUGGGAUUACAGGUGCCUGCCAUCAUGCCUGGCUAAUUUUUGUAUUUCUAGUAGAGGUAGGGUUUCCCCAUGUUGGCCAGGCUGGUCUCAAACUCCUGACUUCAAGUGAUCCAUCUGCCUUGGCCUCCCAAAGUGCUGAGAUUACAGGCAUGCGCCACUGCUACCGGCCUGAUUUUUUUUUUUUUUUUUUUGAGGCGGAGUCUGGCUCUCCCAGGCUGGAGUGCAGUGGCACAAUCUCGGCUCACUACAAUCUCCACCUCCCGGGUUCAAGCGAUUCUCCUGCCUCAGCCUCCUAAGUAGCUGGGACUACAGGCAUGUGCCACCAUGCCUAGAUUUUUUUUUUUUUGUCCUUUUAGUAGAGAUUGGGUUUCACUAUGUUGGUCAGGCUGGUCUUGAACUGCUGACCUCAAAUGAUCCGCCCACCUCGGCCUUCCAAAGUGCUGGGAUUACAGGCAUGAGCCACGGCACCUGGCCUGAUUGAUUAUUUUUAUUUUUUAUUGUAUUUAUUUAUUUUUUGAGACAGAGUCUUACUCUGUCGCCCAGGCUGGAGGGCAGUGGCGCGAUCUUGGCUUACUGCAACCUCCGCCUCCUGGGUUCAAGAGAUUCUCCUGCCUCAGCCUCCUGCGUAGCUGGGAUUAUAGGCACCCGCCACCACGCCCGGCUAUUUUUUUAUUUUAGUAGAGAUAGGGUUUCGUCAUGUUGGCCAUGGUGGUCUUGAACUCCUGACCUCAGGUGAUCCACUCACCUCAGCCUUCCAAAGUGCUGGGAUCACAGGCGUGAGCCACCACGCCCGGCCUAGUCAAGGCAAUUCUGUAAGGGAGGAGCAGGAGGUAGACACGCUUGCUCCAGUUGCCAUUCAUUCAUUCACUCAUUUUUUCAGGCACCGGAGAGGUCAUUCAGUGCAUUUGGUUUUGUGGCCCUAUGGCAUAUAUUGAUUGUCUCCAAAUGUCAUCAUUUCCUGAGCACAGCUCCUGUCACUGCAGUGUGGUCGGCAGCUUCUCGAGGGCAGCAUUUCUGGUUUGAUUUCCGUGUGGCCAAGUAGGAUAUGUGAACACAGAAAGAAGUAGCCAGGACUGAUUGGACAGUCCCUCUCCAGGGCUGUGCAAAUGAUGCCCAUGUUCCUUGGGGACACAGAGUGGGUCCCGGAAGGCUGACGGGCAGCCCUGAUUCUGCUGCCUUCAGCCUGGGCAACAUGGUGAGAUCCUAUCUCUACAAAAAUUGCAAAAAAUACCUGGGCAUGGUGGCGCACUCCUGUAGUCCCAGCAACUCAGGAGGCUGAGGGACGAGAAUCACUUGAACCCGGGAGGCGGAGGUUGCCGUGAGCCGAGAUUGCGCCAUUGGACUCCAGCGUGGGUGACAGAGCGAGACUCUGUCUCAAAAAAAAACAACAAUAACAACAAAGAAAACCCAACAUAAUUUAUCUUGGGUGUUGAAAUUUUUGUCACUCUCUUACAUUUUGCGAUGUCAACUCUUGCCCCAGGAACCAGAUUCUGUGUGGGCCUAGAAAUGACUUCCAAGACAAAUGAAAAAGCAGGUCUCUGCCAUCCCCUGGCCGGACUCCAAAUGCCGCUGCUUUGCGGGGGCUUCCUUGAUUUAUUAGGAGAGGGGAUGAGUGCCUACUACCCAGUUCAGUGUGGGCAGCCAGCUCCCGGGUCUGCCUGGGCCACCCACUUGUGCCUAGGGUCUCCCUCUCAUCCUUUCUGCCAAGGCUGUCUCCAGGGAUAUCAGCUUUGCAGAUCACUCUCUGCAGUUCACACAUGUGCCCAGCCCUGUACCAUCCCCCGUGAAGAGAGAAAAGAGUAAAAGCACAGUCCCUCGUCUCUGGGAGACAAAAUUGGACCAAGGAGGCCAGGUGCAGUAGCUCAUGCCUGUAAUCCCAGCACUUUGGGAGGCGGAGGCAGGUGGAUUACGAGGUCAGGAGUUCGAGACCAGCCUGGCCAACAUAGUGAAACCUCGUCUCUACUAAAAAUACACAAAAAUUAGCCAGGCCUGGUGGCAGGCGCCUGUAAUCUCAGCUACUUGGGAGGCUGAGGCAGGAGAACAGGAGAAUCGCUUAAACCUGGGAGGUAGAGGUUCCAGUGAGCCGAGAUCGCGCCACUGCACUCCAGCCUGGGCGACAGUGUGAGACUCCGUCUCAAAAAAAAAAAAAAAAAUUGAACCAGGGAGACAGCCAGAGAACACUCUGAAGGCCACAUAUAACUAAGUAUGACAGAAUGCUUUGCUCUGGAAAAUAACAAAAGCAAGUACAAAAUAAGGCCCUGAUCAGAGGUGAGGUGUGGCAGGUGGGAGGAUGAGUGUGAUAUAAAGAACCAGGGCUUUUUGCAGCCAGCACUCCUGAGUGCAUUCUUGUCUGCAGCUGUGAGCUUCUGUCUUCCCAUGUGCAAAAUGAGAGGAUAAGGAGACAGUAAUGCACCAGAAUAGCUUGCUCACUGCUGGGUGAGGUGGCUGAUGCCUGUAAUCCUGGCACUUUGGGGGACCGGGGUGGGCAGAUCGCCUGAGGUCAGGAGUUUGAGACCAGCCUGGCCAACAGGGCAAAAUCCCAUCUGUACUAAAAAUACAAAAAUUAGCCGGGCUUGGUGGUGUGUGCCUGUAACCACAGCUACUUGGGAGGCUGAGGCAGAAGAAUCACUUGAACCCAGGAGGCGGAGGUUGCAGUGAGCCGAGAUCGUGCCACUGCACUCUAGCCUGGGUGACAAAGCAAGACUCCGUCUUAAAAAACAAAACAAAACAAAACAAAAAAAAGAAUAGCUUGCUCACUAAGGGCAGUUAAAAAUAGGCUUCCCACCAGGGCCAUCCAUGGCUCAUGCUUGUAAUCCCAGCAAUUUGGGAGGUAGAGGUAGGAUUCCUUGAGUCCCAGGAGUUCAAGACCAGGCUGGGCAACACAGUGAGACUCCUAUCUCUAUUUGUUGAAAA